GUAGGUGACCUGCGGAGGAUCAUUA
This 25-nucleotide ribosomal RNA is filed under the name Podosphaera pannosa. RNAcentral's name for it is "partial 18S ribosomal RNA". The record is from RNAcentral. RNAcentral also lists the same sequence under 11 other names. Lineage: Eukaryota; Fungi; Ascomycota; Leotiomycetes; Helotiales; Erysiphaceae.